This 468-nucleotide ribosomal RNA is filed under the name uncultured bacterium. RNAcentral's name for it is "partial 16S ribosomal RNA". It matches the Rfam family "Bacterial small subunit ribosomal RNA", at positions 28 to 507 of the family's 1533-position model. The record is from RNAcentral.
GACGAACGCUGGCGGCGUGCUUAACACAUGCAAGUCGAACGGACAGGCCCUGCUUUUGUUGGGUGCUCGUGUGGCGAACGCGUGAGUGAAACGUGAGUAUCACGCACUUGUAUUUGGGAUAAAUUCUGGAAAAUCGGGCUAUUACCGGAUAGAAGCUCCUGCUGCACGGUGGGGGAUGGUCAGUUUCGGCGGUAGGGGCUCGAAUAGAGGCUUCUCAGCUUGUUGGUGAGGUAGUGGCUUACCAAGCCUUUGACGGGUAGCCGGCCUUAGAGGGUGACCGGGCACAAUGGUACUGAGAUACGGCCCAGACGGCUACGUGAGGCAGCAGGGGGGAAUAUUGCACAAUGGGCGGAAGCCAGAUGCAGCAACGCCGCGUGCGGGAUAACGUCCUUCGGGUGGUAAACAGCUGUCUCCGUUGACGAAGCGUGAGUGACGGUAAUGGGUAAAGAAGCACCGGCUAACUACGUG